Molecule: ribosomal RNA, 253 nt
Filed under: uncultured bacterium
Lineage: Bacteria
Description: partial 16S ribosomal RNA
Rfam family: Bacterial small subunit ribosomal RNA
Source: RNAcentral
UACGGAAUGUGCAAACGUUAUUCGGAAUCACUGGGCUUAAAGAGUCCGUAGGCGGCUUGUUAGGUGAGGUGUGAAAUCCCUCGGCCCAACCGAGGAAUUGCGCUUCAAACCGGCAAGCUAGAGGAGGAUAGAGGUGGGCGGAACUGAUGGUGGAGCGGUGAAAUGCGUUGAUAUCCACAGGAACUCCGGUGGCGAAGGCGGCACGCUGGAUCUCUACUGACGCUGAGGCGCGAAAGCCAGGGGAGCGAACGGG